AGUGAACGCUGGCGGUAGGCCUAACACAUGCAAGUCGAACGGCAGCACAGGAGAGCUUGCUCUCUGGGUGGCGAGUGGCGGACGGGUGAGGAAUACAUCGGAAUCUACUUUUUCGUGGGGGAUAACGUAGGGAAACUUACGCUAAUACCGCAUACGACCUACGGGUGAAAGCAGGGGACCUUCGGGCCUUGCGCGAUUGAAUGAGCCGAUGUCGGAUUAGCUAGUUGGCGGGGUAAAGGCCCACCAAGGCGACGAUCCGUAGCUGGUCUGAGGGGAUGAUCAGCCAGACUGGAACUGGGACACGGUGCAGACUCCUACGGGAGGCAGCAGUGGGGAAUAUUGGACAAGGGGCGCAAGCCUGAUCCAGCCAUACCGCGUGGGUGAAGAAGGCCUUCGGGUUGUAAAGCCCUUUUGUUGGGAAAGAAAUCCAGCUGGUUAAUACCCGGUUGGGAUGACGGUACCCAAAGAAUAAGCACCGGCUAACUUCGUGCCAGCCGCCGCAGUAA
RNAcentral lists this ribosomal RNA (506 nucleotides) under uncultured bacterium. RNAcentral's name for it is "partial 16S ribosomal RNA". It matches the Rfam family "Bacterial small subunit ribosomal RNA", at positions 29 to 523 of the family's 1533-position model. The record is from RNAcentral.